Molecule: ribosomal RNA, 415 nt
Filed under: Salmonella enterica
Lineage: Bacteria; Pseudomonadati; Pseudomonadota; Gammaproteobacteria; Enterobacterales; Enterobacteriaceae
Also listed under: 4 other names
Description: partial 23S ribosomal RNA
Rfam family: Bacterial large subunit ribosomal RNA
Source: RNAcentral
AACCGACUAAUGUUGAAAAAUUAGCGGAUGACCUGUGGCUGGGGGUGAAAGGCCAAUCAAACCGGGAGAUAGCUGGUUCUCCCCGAAAGCUAUUUAGGUAGCGCCUCGUGAAUUCAUCUCCGGGGGUAGAGCACUGUUUCGGCUAGGGGGCCAUCCCGGCUUACCAACCCGAUGCAAACUGCGAAUACCGGAGAAUGUUAUCACGGGAGACACACGGCGGGUGCUAACGUCCGUCGUGAAGAGGGAAACAACCCAGACCGCCAGCUAAGGUCCCAAAGUCAUGGUUAAGUGGGAAACGAUGUGGGAAGGCCCAGACAGCCAGGAUGUUGGCUUAGAAGCAGCCAUCAUUUAAAGAAAGCGUAAUAGCUCACUGGUCGAGUCGGCCUGCGCGGAAGAUGUAACGGGGCUAAACCAU